CCCUUCGGGGAGCCUAUACAGGUGUUGCAUGGCUGUCGUCAGCUCGUGUCGUGAGAUGUUCGGUUAAGUCCGCUAACGAGCGCAACCCUCGUCGUAUGUUAUAUGUGUCAUACGAGACUGCCGGUAAAAGCCGGAGGAAGGUGAGGAUGAUGUCAAGUCAGCAUGACCUUUAUAUCCAGGGCUACACACACGCUACAAUGGUCUGUACAAUGGGUAGCCAAGCCGCGAGGCGGAGCCAAUCCUGAAAGCAGGCCUCAGUUCAGAUUGCAGUCUGCAACUCGACUGCAUGAAGCCGGAGUUGCUAGUAACCGCAGGUCAGCAAUACUGCGGUGAAUACGUUCCCGGGUCUU
RNAcentral lists this ribosomal RNA (350 nucleotides) under uncultured Anaerolineaceae bacterium. Its description in RNAcentral is "bacterial SSU rRNA". It matches the Rfam family "Bacterial small subunit ribosomal RNA", at positions 1016 to 1382 of the family's 1533-position model. Lineage: Bacteria; Bacillati; Chloroflexota; Anaerolineae; Anaerolineales; Anaerolineaceae. The record is from RNAcentral.